Molecule: long non-coding RNA, 971 nt
Organism: Aethina tumida (small hive beetle)
Lineage: Eukaryota; Metazoa; Arthropoda; Insecta; Coleoptera; Nitidulidae
Exons: 2
Source: RefSeq, a predicted model, not a curated record
UAACCUCACUUUACGAGUUCCAAAAACGGAUUUUAUAAUAACUGUUGCACAAUUGCUCUCAAAGCCAUAAAGCCGAAUUAACGGCACGAAGAGUGAAGACUCCAAAAACUAAUUAACCCUCAAGCCUCGAGUGCCCAUCCACGUCCAUGAGGGUGCCGAAUAAAAACGCGACGACAUUAAUUCAAACGCCUUCCGAGUGCAUUUACGUCAAGUGCCCCGUUUUCGGGGCCCGUCAACCGUGCACGAGGGUCCGUGAGGCCCAUGCACGUCGUAAAAAACGGUUCCGAAAAGGGGGCGAGGCGAAAAAAAAUAUUUUAUUCAAUCGGCAAGGUAAUUACAACCCUCAGGUAUAAUAAAUGUGGCGCCUCGUGCGGCAAUUUUCACGGGCGCGUUAAAUUGCUCCGGAGGUGGUCUGCGGGUGUGAAAUAUUGCGGCUUUGCGUUAACUGCGACGCUAAAUAAAAUGAUAAAAUUGUGAGUAUGCGAUUCUGGAUGGCGUUUAAAUGUUACUUUGGAGGUGGUCCCCGGAGGGAAGCGUGAAAUCCGCCGCCCUUUUGUCAGGCCUCGUCAAUAACAACGUCGCAAUGUAAUGCGACAGAUUUUCCAACCGACGAGGAACAGGAAACCACCGACGGAGCGACACAAAGUCCCUGGUUUUACGAAGGUUAAACGUGUUCGCGUGGAGGCGAGCCGCUGCCGGACCCGUCUUGAAUGAACCCCGGGACAGGACCAGACCUGUCCACCAUGGAUUAAGAACAAUUUGCUGCGGAAUUUCACUCCGCGGGGAGGAAGACACACAUACCAUAGCCGAAGAUCGGAUAACGAACGGUCGUUCCAGUGCAAUCCUAACAUUUUUACUUCUUAACAUUUACUUCUACUGAUGCUGCUAAAUAUUAUAACAAAUUUACAACAAAUUUUGUCGUUAUUAAAUUACAUAUUAUAAUAUUUUAAUAGAGUAUAUUGUCUUUUUUA